Molecule: ribosomal RNA, 258 nt
Filed under: Armillaria mellea
Lineage: Eukaryota; Fungi; Basidiomycota; Agaricomycetes; Agaricales; Physalacriaceae
Description: partial 26S ribosomal RNA
Rfam family: Eukaryotic large subunit ribosomal RNA
Source: RNAcentral
AUCCGUGCUAGAAACGAUGAUGUUGGUGUCGCACCUUAGACUUGUGUUUAAAUAGAGCUUUUGCUCGUGAACCAAAUAUGGUCGGCUGGGUUGUCUUUGCGGAAACGCUUAGGCGACUUGUCUACGAAUUGUAAUCAUAUAUGCGCGACGGUGAAUCCUUUGCAGACGACUUGAAUGGGAACGGGGUACUGUAAGUGGUAGAGUAGCCUUGUUGCUACGAUCCACUGAGGUUAAGCCCUUGUUCUAAAGAUUUGUUCA